GACGAACGCUGGCGGCGUGCUUAACACAUGCAAGUCGAACGGAAAGGCCCUGCUUUUGUGGGGUGCUCGAGUGGCGAACGGGUGAGUAACACGUGAGUAACCUGCCCUUGACUUUGGGAUAACUUCAGGAAACUGGGGCUAAUACCGGAUAGGAGCUCCUGCUGCAUGGUGGUGGUUGGAAAGUUUCGGCGGUUGGGGAUGGACUCGCGGCUUAUCAGCUUGUUGGUGGGGUAGUGGCUUACCAAGGCUUUGACGGGUAGCCGGCAUGAGAGGGUGACCGGCCACAUUGGGACUGAGAUACGGCCCAGACUCCUACGGGAGGCAGCAGUGGGGAAUAUUGCACAAUGGGCGGAAGCCUGAUGCAGAAACGCCGCGUGCGGGAUGACGGCCUUCGGGUUGUAAACCGCUUUCGCCUGUGACGAAGCGUGAGUGACGGUAAUGGGUAAAGAAGCACCGGCUAACUACGUG
RNAcentral lists this ribosomal RNA (468 nucleotides) under uncultured bacterium. RNAcentral describes it as "partial 16S ribosomal RNA". It matches the Rfam family "Bacterial small subunit ribosomal RNA", at positions 28 to 507 of the family's 1533-position model. The record is from RNAcentral.